GAUGAAGAACGUAGCGAAAUGCGAUAAGUAGUGUGAAUUGCAGAAUUCAGUGAAUCAUCGAAUCUUUGAACGCACAUUGCGCCCCUUGGUAUUCCAUGGGGCAUGCCUGUUCGAGCGUCAUUUGUACCUUCAAGCUUUGCUUGGUGUUGGGUGUUUGUCCUGAGGGACUCGCCUUAAAGUAAUUGGCAGCCAGUGUUUGGUUUUGAAGCGCAGCACAAGUCGCAAUUCAAAGCUAUACGCCCGCUUCCACAAGCCUUUUUCACUUUUGACCUCGGAUCAGGUAGGGAUACCCGCUGAACUUAAGCAUAUCAAUAAGCGGAGGA
Molecule: unclassified non-coding RNA, 323 nt
Filed under: soil metagenome
Description: partial contains 5.8S ribosomal RNA, internal transcribed spacer 2, and large subunit ribosomal RNA
Rfam family: 5.8S ribosomal RNA (bases 1-120)
Source: RNAcentral